AUAGCCGGUGGAAACACCGGGUAAUUCCGCAUGAGGUCAACUUCCGGAGGGGAGUUGAGGAAAGGGUCUUCGGACUCGCCUUGGGAGGGGCCUGCGGCCGAUUAGCUAGACGGUGGGGUAACGGCCUACCGUGGCGAUGAUCGGUAGCUGGUCUGAGAGGACGGCCAGCCACACGGGGACUGAGACACGGCCCCGACUCCUACGGGAGGCAGCAGCAAGGAAUCUUCCGCAAUGGGCGAAAGCCUGACGGAGCAACGCCGCGUGUGGGAUGACGCCUUUCGGGGUGUAAACCACUUUUCUCAGGGAAGAAGCACUGACGGUACCUGAGGAAGAAGGACCGGCUAACUACGUGCCAGCAGCCGCGGUAAUACGUAGGGUCCGAGCGUUGUCCGGAGUUACUGGGCGUAAAGCGCGCGCAGGCGGCGGUGUAAGCAUGGCGUGAAAGCCCCUGGCUUAACCAGGGAGGGUCGUCGUGGACUGCACCGCUUGAGGGCGGUAGGGGCUGGUGGAAUGCCUGGUGUAGUGGUGAAAUGCGUAGAGAUCAGGCGG
RNAcentral lists this ribosomal RNA (549 nucleotides) under uncultured bacterium. RNAcentral's name for it is "bacterial SSU rRNA". It matches the Rfam family "Bacterial small subunit ribosomal RNA", at positions 143 to 704 of the family's 1533-position model. The record is from RNAcentral.